This 1196-nucleotide ribosomal RNA is filed under the name Tremella fuciformis. RNAcentral's name for it is "SSU rRNA". It matches the Rfam family "Bacterial small subunit ribosomal RNA". Lineage: Eukaryota; Fungi; Basidiomycota; Tremellomycetes; Tremellales; Tremellaceae. The record is from RNAcentral.
AACAGUAAGUGUUUAAUUAUGGCACAUCUGGAUGGGUAUCUAGGAAUUUAACACAUGCAAGUCUAAUGAUUCAUCUUGAAUCAUGGCGUACAGGUCAGUAAUAUAUAGGAAGAUACCCCAAGAAUCAUGCUAAUCAUGAAUAUAACAAAAGAGUUUAUAAUUCGUCUUGGGAUUUGCCUAUAUCCUAACAGGUAGUUGGUGAGGUAAUGCUUAACAAGCCUACGAGGGGUAGAAGAGGAUGAAAGUCCUAAUAGGUGUAAAGGAUACGUAGCCUGUGAUAAUAAUCACUAGAGUCAAAUAGAGGAACUAACAAUACCUAGAGAAGGGAUGAUAUCUUAUGAUACUAGGGGGAGAACCAAUGGCGAAAGCAUAGUUCCAGGUAAUGACUGACGGUAAGGUAUGAAGGCUGAGGCAGGAAUAAGGAUUAGAUACCCUAGUACUCUCAGCUGUAAACGAUGUAGAUUAGAGAUAUGUCUGAUUAGAUAUGUCUCCAUGCAAACGCGAUAAAUCUACCACCUGUAGAGUAUAGUCCCAUGGCUGAAAUACAAAUAAUUAGACGGUCUGUGAGCAAACGGAGUGGAGCAUGUUAUUUAAUACGAUAAUCCGCGUAAAAUCUUACCACAUCUUGCAUACGAUGAUAUCACUCCUAAGAGUGCAUCAGUACAGGUGUUGCAUGGCUGUCGCCAGCUCGUGUCAGUGAGACGUAUGGUUAAUUCCGUUAAACGAGCGCAAUCCUCGCCAUGAUUAUAUAGAUUCAUGGUCUCAUUCUGAUAAAGAAUGAUUUUAGGAGGACUAUGACAAGCCCUCAUGGCCCUUAUGGUGUGGGCUAUAGACGUGCUACAAGAAGACUGACAAUGUGUCGCAAUAUUGAAAAAUGGAGCCAAUCACUUAAAAAGUCUUAUUAUACGAAUUGUAUGCUGGAACUCGCGUACAUGAAGCAGGAAUUCCGAGUAAUCGUAGAUCACCACGCUACGGUGAAACUCAAUCUCACGGAUGUACUAACCGCUCGUCACGGGAGGAGAGACUUAUAACUAUGAAGUAGCAAUAGUAUUACUUUACUAAAGAUCCUUAUGAUCAGAUUAUUCAGCCGUUAGGUUUAAGUAAGUAUUAUAAUGUGUUACGAAUAGUCUCGGUUGAUUCUUCUGAAGUCGAAACAAGGUGACUCUUAGGGAACUAGGAGUCGAUUAAUAACUAUU